GGGCGGAACCCUGCACGGAGCUCAACGCCUGGGGACCCGGCAGAAGCGAAUUGAGGUGAGGGAGGAGCUCAGAGCUGUGCAGGUCGGCGAUGCCCGGGGCUGGCGUUCCCGCAGCGGCAUCGAGCCCCAAGUCCGGGGCCUCCGGGUCGUCGCAGGUGUCGGACUCCCUGAGGCGCUUUGUGUUAUUCUUGGAAAAUUUCGCACCACUUGUGAAUUCCUUGAGCCUGGGCAUUGCGAGCCCACUUCUGUUGGGCCCGUCUCCUUUGCGCUUUGCUCAGAUUGAGACUCAGUUGGCGCUUCAGCAGCUGAAUGCCGUUGCCUCCCAUGGUUCAACACCACCUUAUACUUUUUUAAAUCAGGCAUUCUUGAAAGUAGCCAUGUCGAGACCCAGGUUUAAUCCUCGAGGGACCUUUCCACUUCAAAGGCCACGAGCACCUAAUCCUCCUGGGAUGAGGCCUCCAGGACCAUUUGUGAGGCCUGGCUCUAUGGGUCUUCCAAGAUUUUACCCAGCAGGGAGAGCCCGUGGAAUUCCACACAGAUUUCCUGGCCACGGAUCUUAUCAGAACAUGGGACCACAAAGAAUGAAUGUUCAGGUAACUCAACACCGAACCGAUCCAAGAUUAACCAAAGAAAAAUUGGAUUUUCCUGAAGCACAACAAAAGAAGGGGAAGCCUCAUGGUAGUCGGUGGGAUGAUGAGUCUCAUAUAACUCCACCGGUAGAAGUGAAACAGAGCUCUGUAACCCAGGUUACAGAGCAAAGUCCUAAAGUACAGAGCCGCUACACAAAAGAGAGUGCUUCAAGUAUUUUAGCAAGUUUUGGAUUAUCAAAUGAAGAUCUAGAAGAACUUAGCCGCUAUCCUGAUGAACAGCUAACUCCUGAAAAUAUGCCAUUAAUAUUGAGGGAUAUAAGAAUGCGAAAAAUGAGCCGCCGAUUACCUAAUUUACCUUCUCACAGCAGAAAUAAGGAAACACUUAGUAAUGAAACAGUUUCAAGUAAUGUGAUUGAUUAUGGGCAUGCAAGCAAAUAUGGUUAUACAGAAGAUCCACUUGAAGUACGUAUUUAUGAUCCUGAAAUUCCAACUGAUGAAGUAAAGAAUGAAUUUCAGCCCCAGCAGAGCAUUUCUGCAACUGUUUCAACUCCAAAUGUGAUAUGUAAUUCUGUGUUUCCUGGUGGAGAUAUGUUUCGUCAGAUGGACUUCCCUGGUGAGUCCUCCAGUCAGUCUUUUUUCCCAGUUGAGAGUGGAACCAAGAUGUCAGGCUUACACAUUUCAGGACAGUCAGUCCUUGAACCUGUAAAAUCCAUCAGCCAGUCUAUUAGCCAAACAGUUAGCCAGACAACGAGCCAGUCUCUGAAUCCUCCAUCUAUGAACCAGGUACCCUUUACAUUUGAAUUAGAUGCAGUUUUACGCCAACAAGAGCGGAUCUCACAGAAGUCUGUGAUCAGUUCAGCUGAUGCACAUGGUGGACCUACAGAAAGUAAAAAGGAUUACCAAUCAGAGGCUGACUUGCCUAUUCGGUCUCCCUUUGGGAUUGUGAAAGCUUCGUGGCUACCAAAGUUUACACAAGCUGGUGCCCAGAAAAUGAAGAGACUGCCAACCCCUUCUAUGAUGAAUGAUUAUUAUGCAGCAUCUCCAAGAAUAUUUCCACAUUUGUGUUCUCUGUGUAACGUAGAAUGUAGUCAUUUGAAGGACUGGAUUCAGCAUCAAAAUACCUCCACCCACAUUGAGAGCUGUCGGCAGUUAAGGCAACAAUACCCUGAUUGGAAUCCUGAGAUCCUCCCAUCCAGAAGAAAUGAGAGCAAUAGGAAAGAAAAUGAAACUCCAAGAAGACGUUCUCAUUCCCCCAGCCCCAGACAUUCUAGGAGAUCAAGCUCAGGUCACAGAAUCCGUCGCUCUCGAAGUCCAGUCCGUUAUAUCUAUAGACCAAGGAGUCGAAGUCCAAGAAUUUGCCACCGUUUCAUUUCUAAAUAUAGAUCCAGAUCCAGGUCCAGAUCCAGGUCCCGUUCUCCAUAUCGUAGUCGGAAUCUCCUUAGAAGAAGUCCGAAGUCCUAUCGGUCAGCUAGCCCAGAGAGGACAUCAAGAAAAUCAGUGAGAUCAGAUAGGAAAAAGGCAUUAGAAGAUGGAGGACAACGUUCUGUGCAUGGGACAGAAGUUACUAAACAGAAACAUACUGAAACAGUUGAUAAAGGGCUCUCACCAGCACAAAAGCCAAAACUUGCCAGUGGAACAAAGCCAUCAGCGAAAUCUCUAAGCUCUGUAAAGAGUGAUUCACAUUUAGGAGCAUAUUCUGCUCACAAGUCUGAGAAUCUGGAAGAUGACACUUUACCAGAAGGUAAACAGGAGUCUGGUAAAAGUGCUUUGGCCCAGCGGAAGCCACAGAAGGAUCAGUCUUUGAGUUCCAACUCAAUUCUUCUUGUAUCUGAACUUCCAGAGGAUGGCUUUACUGAAGAAGAUAUUAGAAAAGCAUUUCUGCCAUUUGGAAAAAUUAGUGAUGUUCUCCUUGUUCCUUGUAGAAAUGAGGCUUACUUGGAAAUGGAGCUUAGAAAAGCAGUUACUUCAAUCAUGAAGUACAUUGAAACAAUGCCUCUUGUGAUAAAAGGAAAAAGUGUGAAAGUAUGUGUUCCAGGAAAGAAAAAGCCACAGAACAAAGAAAUGAAGAAGAAACCUUCAGAUAUUAAGAAAUCAUCUGCAUCUGCUUUAAAAAAAGAGACAGAUGCUUCAAAAACCAUGGAAACUGUCAGUUCAAGCUCUUCUGCCAAAUCUGGACAAAUAAAGUCAUCUACGGUCAAGGUGAACAAAUGUGCAGGGAAAUCAGCGGGUUCUGUAAAAUCUGUGGUUACGGUAGCUGCGAAAGGUAAAGCUUCUAUCAAAACAGCAAAAUCUGGAAAGAAGUCUCUAGAAGCUAAAAAGUCUGGGAAUAUCAAAAACAAAGACUCCAAUAAACCCGUGACUGUACCAGCAAACUCUGAAAUCAAGGCUAGUUCAGAAGACAAAGCCACUGGAAAGAGUGCUGAAGAAAGUCCUUCAGGUACUUUGGAGGCCACAGAAAAGGAACCAGUGAACAAGGAAUCGGAGGAAAUGAGUGUAGUAUUUAUUUCUAAUUUGCCUAACAAAGGAUAUUCUACAGAAGAAAUUUACAACUUAGCAAAACCAUUUGGUGCUUUGAAGGACAUUUUGGUUUUAUCAUCUCAUAAAAAGGCAUAUAUAGAAAUAAACAAAAAAUCUGCAGAUUCUAUGGUAAAAUUUUACACCUGCUUCCCAAUAUCCAUGGAUGGAAAUCAGCUCUCCAUAAGUAUGGCUCCUGAGCAUGUGGACUUAAAAGAUGAGGAAGCUCUCUUUACAACUUUGAUUCAAGAAAAUGACCCAGAGGCAAAUAUUGAUAAAAUUUACAACCGAUUUGUACAUCUUGACAAUUUACCUGAAGAUGGACUUCAGUGUGUGCUUUGUGUUGGGCAUCAGUUUGGAAAAGUGGAUCGCUAUAUGUUCAUGAGUAACAAAAACAAGGUGAUCCUUCAGUUAGAAAGUCCUGAAUCUGCUCUGUCAAUGUACAAUUUUUUGAAACAAAAUCCACAAAACAUAGGUGAGCACGUGUUGACCUGCACUUUAUCUCCAAAGACUGACUCAGAGGUUCAAAGGAAGAAUGAUCUGGAACUAGGAAAAGGAAGUACUUUUAGCCCUGACUUGAAAAACAGUCCUGUUGAUGAAAGUGAGGUACAAACAGCAGCUGAUAGUUCCUCUGUUAAACCUAGUGAGGUUGAAGAAGAAACUACUUCCAAUAUUGGAACAGAAACUUCAGUGCAUCAGGAAGAACUUGGUAAGGAAGAACCCAAACAAGCAUUGUGUGAGUCUGACUUUGCAAUUCAAACACUAGAACUUGAAGCUCAAGGAGCAGAGGUCAGCAUAGAAAUUCCUCUUGUAGCAUCCACUCCAGCCAAUAUUGAGUUAUUCAGUGAAAAUAUAGAUGAGUCUGCUUUAAACCAGCAGAUGUACACCAGUGACUUUGAAAAGGAAGAGGCAGAAGUUACAAACCCUGAAACUGAAUUAGCAGUAUCUGACAGUGUCUUCAUAGAAGAAAGGAACAUCAAGGGAAUUAUAGAAGAUUCUCCAUCUGAAACAGAAGAUAUAUUUUCUGGAAUUGUACAGCCUAUGGUAGAUGCCAUAGCUGAAGUGGAUAAACAUGAAACUGUUUCAGAAGUACUGCCAUCUGCUUGUAAUGUGACCCAAGCACCAGGAAGUUACAUUGAAGAUGAGAAGGUUGUGAGCAAAAAGGAUAUUGCUGAAAAAGUUAUCUUGGAUGAAAAGGAGGAAGAUGAAUUUAAUGUUAAGGAGACCAGAAUGGAUUUACAAGUAAAAACAGAGAAGGCUGAGAAGAAUGAAGCUAUCAUAUUUAAAGAAAAAUUGGAGAAGAUUAUAGCAGCAAUAAGAGAAAAGCCAAUUGAAAGUUCUGUAAUCAAGGCAGACCCAACUAAAGGAGUGGAUCAGACCAGUAAGCCUGAUGAAACUGGUAAAAGUAGUGUGCUGACUGUAUCAAAUGUAUAUAGUAGUAAAUCAAGCAUCAAGGCUACUGUGGUCUCUUCUCCUAAAGCAAAAAGUACACCUUCAAAAACUGAAAGUCACAGCACCUUCCCAAAACCUGUGCUUAGAGAGCAAAUAAAGGCUGAAAAGAAAGUUUCAGCCAAGGAAUUUGGUCUGCUUAAAAAUACCAGAUCAGGCUUGGCAGAAAGCAACAGUAAAUCCAAACCCACUCAGAUUGGUGUUAACAGAGGGUGCAGUGGAAGGAUCUCAGCCCUUCAGUGCAAGGAUUCUAAAGUGGAUUACAAGGACAUAACAAAACAGUCUCAGGAAACAGAGACUAAACCUCCCAUCAUGAAACGGGAUGACAGCAACAAUAAGGCAUUGGCUUUGCAGAACACUAAGAAUUCUAAAAGUACUACAGAUAGAAGUUCCAAAUCGAAAGAGGAACCAUUAUUUACAUUUAAUUUGGAUGAAUUUGUUACUGUGGAUGAAGUCAUAGAAGAAGUAAAUCCUUCUCAAGCCAAGCAGAAUCCAUUAAAAGGAAAAAGAAAGGAAGCCCUCAAAAUUUCUCCUUCCCCUGAACUUAACUUAAAAAAGAAAAAGGGGAAAACUUCUGUCCCUCACAGUGUUGAGGGAGAAUUGUCCUUUGUAACAUUAGAUGAAAUAGGGGAGGAAGAAGAUGCAACUGUGCAAGCUCUAGUCACUGUGGAUGAAGUCAUUGAUGAAGAAGAGCUCAAUAUGGAAGAAAUGGUAAAAAAUUCCAACUCCCUUCUUACCUUAGAUGAACUAAUUGACCAAGAUGAUUGCAUUCCCCACAGUGGACCUAAAGAUGUUACUGUCCUGUCGAUGGCUGAAGAACAAGAUCUACAACAGGAACGCUUGGUAACUGUGGAUGAAAUUGGAGAAGUAGAAGAGUCAGCAGACAUAACUUUUGCUACUUUGAAUGCUAAAAGAGAUAAAAGGGAUUCUAUUGGGUUCAUUUCUUCCCAGAUGCCUGAAGACCCUUCCACUUUAGUUACUGUAGAUGAAAUACAGGAUGACAGCAGUGAUUUUCACUUAAUGACUUUGGAUGAAGUAACUGAAGAGGAUGAAAACUCUCUGGCUGAUUUUAACAACCUUAAAGAAGAGCUGAAUUUUGUUACUGUGGAUGAAGUUGGAGAUGAGGAAGAUGGAGACAAUGAUUCAAAAGUUGAGUUAGCACGAGGCAAAAUUGAGCACCAUACAGAUAAAAAAGGAAAUAGAAAGAGGAGAGCUGUGGACCCAAAGAAGUCAAAGCUUGAUUCUUUCUCCCAAGUAGGUCCAGGAAGUGAAACUGUUACACAAAAAGAUCUGAAAACCAUGCCUGAAAGACAUUUGGCAGCUAAAACGCCAAUGAAGAGAGUUAGAAUUGGGAAAUCAUCACCCUCACAAAAAGUGGCAGAACCAACAAAAGGCGAAGAGGCCUUCCAAAUGAGUGAAGGAGGUAAAGGGGCUAUUCGGGUGGGGAAAAAACACACAACAUGAGAUCAUGAUAGAGCUUUGACAUAUAACCAGGCAAGAAACUAGAAAGGCAGCAGCCAGGCUUAGAAGAGCCUUGUAAACUUCUUUCUUCAUAAUUUAGAGAGAUUUUGGAACAGUGACAAUAGAACAAAAAAAUAUUUGUGGAAAUUACUCACAAGAUGUUAUUGUGACCAUGUUCUAGCAUCAGGGAUCAAUAAUUUAUUAACUGUCUGUUUACAGGCAUCCAGCCUGUAAAAAACAGAAUGCUUAAUAAUAUUUAAGUUGAUGCAAAUAAGGAACAUUGUCACCGAUAAAUAACUUGUUAUUGUAUCUAAUAUUUCAUUGUAUCCUAUAUCCUUCCUGUUGUUGACAGUAAAAUACUAAGGUCAUUCCUGAUUUCUAAGAGUGCAUUGAUAGGAAAGGCAAAGGAAAGUGUCUUCCAGUGUGACGAUAUCCCUUCAGCAUCUUCUUUGCAGUACUGAGGAAAAGUUCUUUGAAUCUGAUCCCUCUACCCUCCUUUCCUCCUCCAACGUCUAUUAAAACUCUCUUUAUUUUAUUUGCUGACCAGUGGUGACGAUAUUUCCUUCUCCAUUACCUAGCUAACUCACACUGCUUUCUUUUAUAUUUACCUAAGAAAAUGAAUCUUCUCUGAUGGCCACCUUGAGUUUUACCUUUAUUGACUCCUUACACAUAAACUACAGCAAACUUCCUAUAUCAUUAGAGGACAAAAAUCAAUGUUGGCUUUGGAAUUCCCCUAGCAACAAAAUACAGCAUAUAGAAUAGUGGUUUUCAGCCUGUGGGUCACUACCCCUGUGGCAAUCCUCUGUCUUCAAAAACUACUUAGAUUACGAUUCAUAACAGGAGCAAGAUUAUAGUUAUGAAGUAGCAACAAAAGUAAUUUUAUGGUUGGAGAUCACCACAACAUGAGGAACUGUAUUAAAGGAUCACAGCAUUAGGAAGGCUGAGAAUCACUGAUCCAGUUGAUGACGCUGAACUAAAGGAUUCAGAACCUGAUGAAAAACGCAGGAAGACUCAAGACUCUUCUGUAGGCAAAUCAAUGACAUCUGAUGUCCCUGGAGAUUUGGACUUUCUUGUUCCGAAGGCUGGAUUUUUCUGUCCAAUUUGCUCCCUCUUCUACUCAGGUGAAAAAGCAAUGGCAAAUCACUGCAAGAGCACACGUCAUAAACAAAAUACAGAGAAGUUCAUGGCCAAGCAAAGAAAGGAAAAGGAGCAGAAUGAGACUGAAGAAAGAAGCUCUAGGUGAUGGAGGAAAGGAGAAAAGAAUUCAUUAGAAAUUCAUUUAGGGUCCAGUUGAUUUGUGUAUUUUUGUUAUCAUUUAAUUUGUAAUUUUUUUGUUUCAAAAGCAUAUUCAUGUUGUACAAAUUUCUGAUUGCCCUUGAUGUAGAGAAACUGAUGGGAAAAUAUGAUGGGUUUGAUUUUUAUAUCAAAUCAUCAGGCAUGGAUAAUACCUUUUAGAAGUGUUUAAAUAAAUGUUCCUACUGUAUAUUUCAA
This is an RNA transcript of Mus musculus (house mouse), 7505 nucleotides long. It is a transcript of the gene named zinc finger protein 638, with no coding region annotated. The record is from RefSeq and is marked validated. Lineage: Eukaryota; Metazoa; Chordata; Mammalia; Rodentia; Muridae. The transcript has 28 exons.